This 440-nucleotide ribosomal RNA is filed under the name uncultured bacterium. RNAcentral's name for it is "bacterial SSU rRNA". It matches the Rfam family "Bacterial small subunit ribosomal RNA", at positions 338 to 795 of the family's 1533-position model. The record is from RNAcentral.
CCUACGGGGGGCUGCAGUAAGGAAUCUUCCGCAAUGGGCGCAAGCCUGACGGAGCAAUGCCGCGUGUGGGAUGAAGCGUCUCUGACGUGUAAACCACUGUCAGGGGUUGGAACCAAUGAUCGACCCCAGAGGAAGUGGCGACUAACUCUGUGCCAGCAGUCGCGGUAAUACAGAGGCCACAAGCGUUAGUCGGAAUCACUGGGCUUAAAGGGUGCGUAGGUGGGCCUGUAAGUGUUCUGUGAAAGCCCUCAGCUCAACUGAGGAACAGCAGGGCAUACUACAGGCCUCGAGGCAAGUAUGGGUGGGCAGAACAGUAGGUGGAGCGGUGAAAUGCGUAGAUAUCUACUGGAAUGCCGAUGGUGAAGACGGCCCACUGGGCUUGUCCUGACACUGAGGCACGAAAGCGUGGGGAGCAAACAGGAUUAGAUACCCCGGUAGUC